GAUGAAGAACGUAGCGAAAUGCGAUAAGUAAUGUGAAUUGCAGAAUUCAGUGAAUCAUCGAAUCUUUGAACGCACAUUGCGCCCGCCAGUAUUCUGGCGGGCAUGCCUGUUCGAGCGUCAUUACAACCCUCAGGCCCCCGGGCCUGGCGUUGGGGAUCGGCGAGGCGCCCCCCGCGGGCACGCGCCGUCCCCCAAAUACAGUGGCGGUCCCGCCGCAGCUUCCAUUGCGUAGUAGCUAACACCUCGCAACUGGAGAGCGGCGCGGCCAUGCCGUAAAACACCCAACUUCUGAAUGUUGACCUCGAAUCAGGUAGGAAUACCCGCUGAACUUAAGCAUAUCAAUAAUCGGAGGA
This 353-nucleotide unclassified non-coding RNA is filed under the name soil metagenome. Its description in RNAcentral is "partial contains 5.8S ribosomal RNA, internal transcribed spacer 2, and large subunit ribosomal RNA". The stretch from base 1 to 120 matches the Rfam family "5.8S ribosomal RNA", at positions 35 to 154 of the family's 154-position model. The record is from RNAcentral.